Molecule: ribosomal RNA, 254 nt
Filed under: uncultured bacterium
Lineage: Bacteria
Description: partial 16S ribosomal RNA
Rfam family: Bacterial small subunit ribosomal RNA
Source: RNAcentral
UACGUAGGGGGCAAGCGUUGUCCGGAAUUAUUGGGCGUAAAGAGCUUGUAGGCGGUCUGUCGCGUCUGCUGUGAAAAUCCGGGGCUCAACCCCCGGACUUGCAGUGGGUACGGGCAGACUAGAGUGUGGUAGGGGAGACUGGAAUUCCUGGUGUAGCGGUGAAAUGCGCAGAUAUCAGGAGGAACACCGAUGGCGAAGGCAGGUCUCUGGGCCACUACUGACGCUGAGAAGCGAAAGCAUGGGGAGCGAACAGG